GCAGUCGCCACGGGAAUACGGAGGGUGCAAGCGUUAAUCGGAAUUACUGGGCGUAAAGCGUGCGUAGGCGGUUCGUUAAGUCUGUUGUGAAAGCCCCGGGCUCAACCUGGGAAUGGCAAUGGAUACUGGCGAGCUAGAGUGUGUCAGAGGAUGGUGGAAUUCUCGGUGUAGCGGUGAAAUGCGUAGAGAUCGGGAGGAACAUCAGUGGCGAAGGCGGCCAUCUGGGACAACACUGACGCUGAGGCACGAAAGCGUGGGGAGCAAACAGGAUUAGAUACCCCCGUAGUCCCUGUCUCUUAUAC
Molecule: ribosomal RNA, 302 nt
Filed under: uncultured bacterium
Lineage: Bacteria
Description: partial 16S ribosomal RNA
Rfam family: Bacterial small subunit ribosomal RNA
Source: RNAcentral